GCUGGGGUAGCUCAGUGGUAGAGCUUUCGCCUGAAGAGCGAAGAGUCGCCGGUUCGAUCCCGGCCCCCAGCA
This 72-nucleotide transfer RNA is filed under the name bacterium. RNAcentral describes it as "tRNA-Phe". It matches the Rfam family "tRNA". Rfam says of the family: Transfer RNA (tRNA) molecules are approximately 80 nucleotides in length. Their secondary structure includes four short double-helical elements and three loops (D, anti-codon, and T loops). The record is from RNAcentral.